This 357-nucleotide ribosomal RNA is filed under the name uncultured bacterium. RNAcentral describes it as "partial 16S ribosomal RNA". It matches the Rfam family "Bacterial small subunit ribosomal RNA", at positions 338 to 709 of the family's 1533-position model. The record is from RNAcentral.
CCUACGGGUGGCAGCAGUGGGGAAUAUUGGGCAAUGGGCGCAAGCCUGACCCAGCAACGCCGCGUGAAGGAAGAAGGCUUUCGGGUUGUAAACUUCUUUUCUCAGGGACGAAGCAAGUGACUGUACCUGCUGAAUAAGCCACGGCUAACUACGUGCCAGCAGCCGCGGUAAUACGUAGGUGGCAAGCGUUAUCCGGAUUUACUGGGUGGAAAGGGCGUGUAGGCGGGGACGCAAGUCAGAUGUGAAAACCACGGGCUCAACCUGUGGCCUGCAUUUGAAACUGUGUUUCUUGAGUACUGGAGAGGCAGACGGAAUUCAUGGUGUAGCGGUGAAAUGCGUAGAUAUUAGGAGGAACAC